ACACGUCUACAUUAGAUACCCGNGUAGUCCCAGCCGUAAACUAUGCGCGUUAGGUGUAUCGGUGACCACGAGUCACCGAGGUGCCGAAGGGAAACCGUGAAACGUGCCGCCUGGGAAGUACGGUCGCAAGGCUAGAAACUUAAAGGAAUUGGCGGGGAGCACCACAACGGGUGGAGCCUGCGGUUAAUUGGACUCAACGCCGGGAAGCUCACCGGAUAAGACAGCGGAAUGAUUGCCGGGCUGAAGACUCUGCAUGACUAGCUG
RNAcentral lists this ribosomal RNA (264 nucleotides) under uncultured archaeon. RNAcentral's name for it is "partial 16S ribosomal RNA". It matches the Rfam family "Archaeal small subunit ribosomal RNA", at positions 719 to 982 of the family's 1478-position model. The record is from RNAcentral.